CCAAGUCAGUGUAGAUCAUGUUCUCAAUUGUGCGAGAAAAGGUGGAAUGCUUGAGCUCUCAGAGGCAAUAAGAGAUUACCAUGAUAACAGUGACUUACCCCAGAUGAAUAAUGGGGGUUCCACAGAUGAAUUUUUCUUAGUCACGAAUCCUGAAUCUUCAGGAUCACCUCCGAAAAGGGCACCUCCACCCAUUCUGGUUUCAACACUGGCCCCUGUUAUUGCAACAGCCCCUGUUUUUGCACCA
RNAcentral lists this unclassified non-coding RNA (244 nucleotides) under Hevea brasiliensis (rubber tree). Lineage: Eukaryota; Viridiplantae; Streptophyta; Magnoliopsida; Malpighiales; Euphorbiaceae. The record is from RNAcentral.